This 1372-nucleotide ribosomal RNA is filed under the name uncultured bacterium. RNAcentral describes it as "bacterial SSU rRNA". It matches the Rfam family "Bacterial small subunit ribosomal RNA", at positions 28 to 1381 of the family's 1533-position model. The record is from RNAcentral.
GAUGAACGCUGGCGGCGUGCCUAAUACAUGCAAGUCGAGCGAACGGACGAGAAGCUUGCUUCUCUGAUGUUAGCGGCGGACGGGUGAGUAACGCGUGGAUAACCUACCUAUAAGACUGGGAUAACUUCGGGAAACCGGAGCUAAUACCGGAUAAUAUUUCGAACCGCAUGGUUCAAAAGUGAAAGACGGUCUUGCUGUCACUUAUAGAUGGAUCCGCGCUGCAUUAGCUAGUUGGUAAGGUAACGGCUUACCAAGGCAACGAUGCAUAGCCGACCUGAGAGGGUGAUCGGCCACACUGGAACUGAGACACGGUCCAGACUCCUACGGGAGGCAGCAGUAGGGAAUCUUCCGCAAUGGGCGAAAGCCUGACGGAGCAACGCCGCGUGAGUGAUGAAGGUCUUCGGAUCGUAAAACUCUGUUAUUAGGGAAGAACAUAUGUGUAAGUAACUGUGCACAUCUUGACGGUACCUAAUCAGAAAGCCACGGCUAACUACGUGCCAGCAGCCGCGGUAAUACGUAGGUGGCAAGCGUUAUCCGGAAUUAUUGGGCGUAAAGCGCGCGUAGGCGGUUUUUUAAGUCUGAUGUGAAAGCCCACGGCUCAACCGUGGAGGGUCAUUGGAAACUGGAAAACUUGAGUGCAGAAGAGGAAAGUGGAAUUCCAUGUGUAGCGGUGAAAUGCGCAGAGAUAUGGAGGAACACCAGUGGCGAAGGCGACUUUCUGGUCUGUAACUGACGCUGAUGUGCGAAAGCGUGGGGAUCAAACAGGAUUAGAUACCCUGGUAGUCCACGCCGUAAACGAUGAGUGCUAAGUGUUAGGGGGUUUCCGCCCCUUAGUGCUGCAGCUAACGCAUUAAGCACUCCGCCUGGGGAGUACGACCGCAAGGUUGAAACUCAAAGGAAUUGACGGGGACCCGCACAAGCGGUGGAGCAUGUGGUUUAAUUCGAAGCAACGCGAAGAACCUUACCAAAUCUUGACAUCCUUUGACAACUCUAGAGAUAGAGCUUUCCCCUUCGGGGGACAAAGUGACAGGUGGUGCAUGGUUGUCGUCAGCUCGUGUCGUGAGAUGUUGGGUUAAGUCCCGCAACGAGCGCAACCCUUAAGCUUAGUUGCCAUCAUUAAGUUGGGCACUCUAAGUUGACUGCCGGUGACAAACCGGAGGAAGGUGGGGAUGACGUCAAAUCAUCAUGCCCCUUAUGAUUUGGGCUACACACGUGCUACAAUGGACAAUACAAAGGGCAGCGAAACCGUGAGGUCAAGCAAAUCCCAUAAAGUUGUUCUCAGUUCGGAUUGUAGUCUGCAACUCGACUACAUGAAGCUGGAAUCGCUAGUAAUCGUAGAUCAGCAUGCUACGGUGAAUACGUUCCCGGGUCU